This 66-nucleotide transfer RNA is filed under the name Gemmatimonadota bacterium. Its description in RNAcentral is "Gemmatimonadetes bacterium (marine sediment metagenome) tRNA-Ala". It matches the Rfam family "tRNA". Rfam says of the family: Transfer RNA (tRNA) molecules are approximately 80 nucleotides in length. Their secondary structure includes four short double-helical elements and three loops (D, anti-codon, and T loops). Further hydrogen bonds mediate the characteristic L-shaped molecular structure. tRNAs have two regions of fundamental functional importance: the anti-codon, which is responsible for specific mRNA codon recognition, and the 3' end, to which the tRNAs corresponding amino acid is attached (by aminoacyl-tRNA synthetases). tRNAs cope with the degeneracy of the genetic code in two manners: having more than one tRNA (with a specific anti-codon) for a particular amino acid; and 'wobble' base-pairing, i.e. permitting non-standard base-pairing at the 3rd anti-codon position. Lineage: Bacteria; Pseudomonadati; Gemmatimonadota. The record is from RNAcentral.
GUAGGGUGGUUCUGAGCCCUCUGCUUUGCAAGCAGGGGGUCAGGGGUUUGAAUCCCCUCAGCUCCA